RNAcentral lists this non-coding RNA (29 nucleotides) under Mus musculus (house mouse). The record is from RNAcentral. Lineage: Eukaryota; Metazoa; Chordata; Mammalia; Rodentia; Muridae.
UAAGCAGAAAAUUCCUUUUGUGGUGGCAA